This 502-nucleotide unclassified non-coding RNA is filed under the name Fuirena hirsuta. RNAcentral's name for it is "partial external transcribed spacer 1f". The record is from RNAcentral. Lineage: Eukaryota; Viridiplantae; Streptophyta; Magnoliopsida; Poales; Cyperaceae.
UUCUUGACGUGCCCAGCAUGACAGGCUCCCUGCAUAUAUGUGCGGCCAACUGUCAUGGGGUUGUCUCUUCGUUCUCCCUAUUGUGUUUCCUUUUGUUAGGGAGGGAUGCUUCUUAUUGGUUGCCUGUGGCGAUCUACCGUUGUGGUAGUACCACUGUCCCUUUUCGGGUGUUAGCUUGUUGUACUGCUAUUUGCAGGUUGGCUUUGGUGUUGACGAAUUCCAUGUGUUUCUGUGGUUGUGUGACUCGGUACUGUUGUGUGGUUUGUUUGUCGGAUCUCAUUGAUGUUGUGCCCGUUGUGACCUCUGUGGGCUUCACGUUUGCAGAUCUUGAGAGGUCUACACACUUGAGAGGCCCUCGCCUCUGCUUUGUGUAAAGCCUCUGUGAUUGGAGGAUGCCUUGCGAUUGCUGGCUUUAGUUGUUGUAUGAACCUUCCUAUUUGGGUUGGUGCUUCGGAUGACUUUGCGGCUCUCGUUUAAGAUGUGCUACCUGGUUGAUCCUGCC